AUUGAACGCUGGCGGCAGGCCUAACACAUGCAAGUCGAACGAGUGGCGGACGGGUUAGUAAUGUCUGGGAAACUGCCUGAUGGAGGGGGAUAACUACUGGAAACGGUAGCUAAUACCGCAUACCAUCGGAUGUGCCCAGAUGGGAUUAGCUAGUCGGUGGGGUAACGGCUCACCUGGGCGACGAUCCCUAGCUGUUCUGAGAGGAUGACAAGCCACACUGGAAAUGAGACACGGUCCAGACUCAUACGGGAGGCAGCAGUGGGGAAUAUUGCACAAGGGGCGAAAGCCGGAUGCAGCAAGGCCGAGUGUAUGAAGAAGGCCUUCGGGUUGUAAAGUACUUUAAGCGGGGAGGCGUUACCCGCAGAAGAAGCACCGGCUAACUCCGUGACAGCAGCCGCGGUAAUAC
Molecule: ribosomal RNA, 406 nt
Filed under: uncultured bacterium
Lineage: Bacteria
Description: partial 16S ribosomal RNA
Rfam family: Bacterial small subunit ribosomal RNA
Source: RNAcentral